CUCAUGGACUGUAGUCAGCUGUGCGUGCGGCCCCAGCUGUGUUUGACCUCGGACAAGUCAGCUAAUCUCUCGGUUUCCUCAUCUGUGAGAUGGAAGGUAGAAAGGGCGCCCACCCCCAGGGCCUCCAUCUCCUACUCCCUCCCUGUGCACGCUGUGUGUGACCACUGUCCCUUGUGACUGGGUCCCGUCUGUGCCCUGCCAAGCCUUCAGCCUCUUGCCAUCACUCCUGCUUUACAAGCA
Molecule: long non-coding RNA, 240 nt
Organism: Lutra lutra (Eurasian river otter)
Lineage: Eukaryota; Metazoa; Chordata; Mammalia; Carnivora; Mustelidae
Exons: 3
Source: RefSeq, a predicted model, not a curated record